RNAcentral lists this ribosomal RNA (969 nucleotides) under uncultured bacterium. RNAcentral describes it as "bacterial SSU rRNA". It matches the Rfam family "Bacterial small subunit ribosomal RNA", at positions 8 to 974 of the family's 1533-position model. The record is from RNAcentral.
AGAGUUUGAUCAUGGCUCAGGAUGAACGCUAGCGGCAGGCUUAACACAUGCAAGUCGAACGGCAGCAGGUCCUUCGGGAUGCUGGCGAUGUGGCAAACGGGUGAGGAACACGUACGCAACAUGCCCUUUUCUGGGAGAUAGCCCGGAGAAAUCCGGAUUAAUAUCCCAUAGCAUCACAGGCUGGCAUCAGUCUAGUGAUUAAAGAAUUUCGGAAAAGGAUUGGCGUGCGUCCCAUUAGGUAGUUGGUUUGGGGUAACGGCCCACCAAGCCGACGAUGGGUAGCUGGUGUGAGAGCAUGACCAGCCACACGGGCAUUGAGACACGGGCCCGACUCCUACGGGAGGCAGCAGUGAGGAAUACUUGGGCAAUGGACGAAAGUCUGACCCAGCCAUGCCGCGUGAAGGAUGAAGGCGUUCUGCGUUGUAAACUUCUUUUAUUAGGGAAGAAACCGCUGAUUUCUAUUGGCGUUGACGGUACCUAAGGAAUAAGCACCGGCUAACUCCGUGCCAGCAGCCGCGGUAAUACGGAGGGUGCAAGCGUUAUCCGGAUUUACUGGGUUUAAAGGGUGCGCAGGCGGGCUGUUAAGUCAGUGGUGAAAUCUCCGGGCUCAACCCGGAAACUGCCUCUGAUACUAUCAGUCUUGAAUACUGUUGAGGUGGGCGGAAUAGGUCAUGUAGCGGUGAAAUGCAUAGAUAUGACAUGGAACACCAAUUGCGAAGGCAGCUUACUACACAACGAUUGACGCUGAGGCACGAAAGCGUGGGUAGCGAACAGGAUUAGAUACCCUGGUAGUCCACGCCCUAAACGAUGAUUACUCGACAUACGCGAUACACAGUGUGUGUCCAAGCGAAAGCAUUAAGUAAUCCACCUGGAAGUACACCGCAAGGUUGAAACUCAAAGGAAUUGACGGGGGUCCGCCACAAGCCGGUGGAGCAUGUGGUUAAUUCGAUGAUACGCGAGGAACCUUAC